Molecule: ribosomal RNA, 435 nt
Filed under: uncultured bacterium
Lineage: Bacteria
Description: partial 16S ribosomal RNA
Rfam family: Bacterial small subunit ribosomal RNA
Source: RNAcentral
AGCGAACGCUGGCGGCAGGCUUAACACAUGCAAGUCGAGCGGGCACUUUCGGGUGUCAGCGGCGGACGGGUGAGUAACGCGUGGUAACGUGCCCUCUGGUUCGGAAUAACUCAGGGAAACUUGAGCUAAUACCGGAUACGCCCUUUUGGGGAAAGGCUUGCUGCCGGAGGAUCGGCCCGCGUCUGAUUAGCUAGUUGGUGAGGUAACGGCUCACCAAGGCGACGAUCAGUAGCUGGUCUGAGAGGAUGAUCAGCGACACUGGUGCUGAGACACGGCCCAGACUCCUACGGGAGGGAGCAGUGGGGAAUAUUGGACAAGGGGCGCAAGCCUGAUCCAGCCAUGCCGGGUGAGUGAUGAAGGCCGUAGGGUUGUAAAGCUCUUUUAUCCGGGACGAUAAUGACGGUACCGGAGGAAUAAGCCCCGGCUAACUUCGUG